Molecule: long non-coding RNA, 687 nt
Organism: Gossypium arboreum
Lineage: Eukaryota; Viridiplantae; Streptophyta; Magnoliopsida; Malvales; Malvaceae
Exons: 2
Source: RefSeq, a predicted model, not a curated record
AUAAGAUGUCAAUAGGAGUCAAUUGAAAUGCGGCGCCAAGAGGAGGGAUUAACCGCGCAAAUUACCCAUCUGAAGCAAAAGGGCGCGGAUCCUCUUUCGGAUCGGGUCAACGUGUGGAUUCCCCUUCUUUAAACGGCGUCGUUUUUUAACAAGUUAUUUAAAACCUCUUUUUCUCCUAUGUUCUUUUCCAAAUACAACCAACCUUUUAAUUUAAAAAAAAAGCCCUGAAAUCAAUCUACUAGGGUUUCAUUAGCACGCAGCCGCAGAACCACCAUCAUGUUUGGCGACCAACAGCGCGCAAACAGUGCCCCGAUCCUGCCGUUGAAAGUGCUCAAACAUACCCAAAAGGAUUUAGUUCUAUGGACGCAAGGCUGUACGGAGGAAGAGGCCGUGGAGGCCGUGCGUGGGAACCACUCGUGGGAGCCUUGAUCUACUGUUGUUCUAGCGUAUUCCGGAAACCUCUAGGAUUUCUGGUAUUUUCUGUUGUUGGGCCUUUUUUGGGUCAUUUCGGGUUUUGGCCAUUUGUAAAUCGGGCUAGAUGUUUUGGACUUGGUAUUUUAUUUCUGUUUCAGGCUAUGUUUUGUUAUUGGACUUUGGGUUAAUGUUUUGGUUUAAUUUAGGCCCAGAAUUUUGUAAAUGGACAUUGGCCUCAUAAACACUUUAGUUUAUUUAUUUCUGUUUGAUACA